RNAcentral lists this ribosomal RNA (253 nucleotides) under uncultured bacterium. RNAcentral's name for it is "partial 16S ribosomal RNA". It matches the Rfam family "Bacterial small subunit ribosomal RNA", at positions 524 to 776 of the family's 1533-position model. The record is from RNAcentral.
UACGGAGGAUGCGAGCGUUAUCCGGAUUCAUUGGGUUUAAAGGGUGCGUAGGCGGGACAAUAAGUCAGUGGUGAAAUCCUGCAGCUUAACUGUAGAACUGCCAUUGAUACUGUUGAUCUUGAGUUCGGUUGAGGUAGGCGGAAUGUGUAAUGUAGCGGUGAAAUGCUUAGAUAUUACACAGAACACCGAUUGCGUAGGCAGCUUACUAAGCCGAGACUGACGCUGAGGCACGAAAGCGUGGGGAGCGAACAGG